UACGGGGGGAGCAAGCGUUGUUCGGAAUCACUGGGCGUAAAGAGCGUGUAGGCGGUCUGGUAGGUCCGUUGUGAAAACUCGAGGCUCAACCUCGAGACGCCGAUGGAAACCCUCAGACUAGAGUCCGGAAGAGGAGAGUGGAAUUCCUGGUGUAGCGGUGAAAUGCGCAGAUAUCAGGAAGAACACCCGUGGCUAAGGCGGCUCUCUAGUACGUGACUGACGCUGAGACGCGAAAGCGUGGGGAGCGAACAGG
This 253-nucleotide ribosomal RNA is filed under the name uncultured bacterium. RNAcentral describes it as "partial 16S ribosomal RNA". It matches the Rfam family "Bacterial small subunit ribosomal RNA", at positions 524 to 776 of the family's 1533-position model. The record is from RNAcentral.